RNAcentral lists this ribosomal RNA (425 nucleotides) under uncultured bacterium. RNAcentral describes it as "partial 16S ribosomal RNA". It matches the Rfam family "Bacterial small subunit ribosomal RNA", at positions 354 to 796 of the family's 1533-position model. The record is from RNAcentral.
GUGGGGAAUCUUAGACAAUGGGGGCAACCCUGAUCUAGCCAUGCCGCGUGAGUGAUGAAGGCCUUAGGGUUGUAAAGCUCUUUCAGUGGGGAAGAUAAUGACGGUACCCACAGAAGAAGCCCCGGCUAACUCCGUGCCAGCAGCCGCGGUAAUACGGAGGGGGCUAGCGUUGUUCGGAAUUACUGGGCGUAAAGCGCACGUAGGCGGAUCGGAAAGUUGGGGGUGAAAUCCCAGGGCUCAACCCUGGAACUGCCUUCCAAACUAUCGGUCGGGAGUCCGAGAGAGGUGAGUGGAAUUCCGAGUGUAGAGGUGAAAUUCGUAGAUAUUCGGAGGAACACCAGUGGCGAAGGCGGCUCACUGGCUCGGUACUGACGCUGAGGUGCGAAAGCGAGGGCAGCAACCAGGAUCAAAUACCCCGCUAGUCC